Long non-coding RNA from Rhincodon typus (whale shark), 1286 nucleotides. RefSeq lists it as uncharacterized. Lineage: Eukaryota; Metazoa; Chordata; Chondrichthyes; Orectolobiformes; Rhincodontidae. The record is from RefSeq and is a predicted model, not a curated record. The transcript has 2 exons.
GGCAGUGGGCGCCUAAUGAGAGAAGGGGACUGAAUGGUUGCAGAACAUAGUUUGUGAUGGUGACCAAAAGCAAUGGCUUCAGACCUCCCAACAAUUAAUUGAAUGAAAUAUUUAAUCAAAUGGCUGAAUUCAGGCCUCCAAACUGUGUGACUUAAAACAUCCUUUUGCGAACAAAUAUUAAUACGUAACUCUAUUCAUUAGAACAUCUGCACUUUGCCACAGGCGACUUCAGCCUGUUUAAGGGUUAAACUUAUACAGUCAGUCUUGUAUCUGUAACGCAAUUUUUUUCAGAACAUGCUUAAUAUGAACCUUUUGCACGCGUGGACCAAAGGGCAACUCAAAAACGAUUGAUCUAUAAUAAUCUAUUGUGUGUCUUGUCACCUUAUUCUUCCUACAAAGCUUGGCCGCUGUACUUCUCCAACCCGGAGGAAGUGCUUGCGAGUCUUCCAUCUCCAGUAUCAGCUCUCUGUGGAAAACGCUUCAACCAGACAAGUCCAGAAUCCCGAGCUUGUCAAGUUUCGCUGGAAGAAUAGAAACCCUCCGUUUACGAUUCCUGUGCAUGUGAUGCAUUCGUCGGGUAAUCGUCCACUGAAGCACGUCGCCGGCACACAGUCAGCGUUUGAGGCUCUCCCAACAUCAUUGAGUAGUCGGAAUCGCGAAACUGGUCUUUUCUCGACACCGUACAGCUGUCUCUAACCCGAUCAAGUGAUACAAGAGAACUCUUUCAAAAUCCACCUUGAGUGAAUGCAUGGGCUCUCACAAUGCCCCGUUUAACCUUGAUGCGAUUUGAUGCGCCCAAUCAUUUGAAAAGAUGGCACUAACCCUGGAACCCCGCAGACGCGUCGAGCAUAUCCAUCCGGACUCUACUCUUAUCAGAGUACACAAGUUCUAUUUUCUUUCCGACUUCCCAGAUUAGUGUCGCGCCAGAACGCCGAUUAGUUGGGACGGUUCAUUUUCUUGUACAGUCAUUUUCACGGACUUCACAUGGCAUAUUCUGUAUUGCCUUUCUGCUUGGGGAAUAUCCUGAUUGUCACACUUUAGAACGGCAGUCAGAAACAUAAGAAAUAGGAGGCAGGAGUAGCCCAUUCGGCCCCUUAAGUCUGUCCCGCCAUACUAUUAGGAUCGAGGCUGUCUCUUUCAUGCCAGCUCCCCAUUUCUCUUAUGCCUACCUACCGGCUGACCCAAUUAUUAUUACGCCAUAAAAUCUAAGAUCUCGAAUGCAUUUUCUAUUGUUUUCCUUUUGCAGUCUUUGUACCACUUUUAAACAUCUCGAUGUGAACUAGUAA